UACGAAGGUGGCAAGCGUUGUUCGGAUUUACUGGGCGUACAGGGAGCGUAGGCGGUUGGAUAAGCCCUCCGUGAAAUCUCCAGGCUUAAACCUGGAAAGUGCAGAGGGGACUGUUCAGCGUAGAGGAUGGGAGAGGAGCGGCGGAAUUCCCGGUGUAGCGGUGAAAUGCGUAGAGAUCGGGAGGAAGGCCGGUGGCGAAGGCGGCGCUCUGGGAACAUUUCUGGACGCUGAGGCUCGAAAGCGUGGGGGAGCGAACAGG
This 259-nucleotide ribosomal RNA is filed under the name uncultured bacterium. RNAcentral describes it as "partial 16S ribosomal RNA". It matches the Rfam family "Bacterial small subunit ribosomal RNA", at positions 524 to 776 of the family's 1533-position model. The record is from RNAcentral.